UCCUACAGAUGCUCCUGCGGACUGAGAAGAAGGGGGCAAAGGUUCCCUUCCUUUUCAACACGAGGCAGGCGGCCUUGCUGGAGGGAUGAGGAGGCCCCCGCACUCCCGGACCCGUCGACUCUUCACCCCAGCCGGCCUCUUGUGCAUCUGCUGAGGUUUGCCAAAUUGCGAGGUAAUUUCCCUGCCGAAGGCCUGGAGAAGAUCAUAAGUCACCGAUGGUGUGCAUGCCCAUUCUCCUGUGCUGUUUAAAAACAACUGUUCUGGUAAGCGAGAGGGGCAGGAUCCCCAGACGCCUUGUACUUGCAGGCUGUGGGUACAAAGGGCCAGAGUGCAUCUGUGAUCUGGCCUGGCAAAGAGACCUCGGGGCCCACUGGGUCUGACUCACUUUUCUGUGUCUGUGUGCAAUCAGAUUUGCGGCAGCUACAGCCCCAUGCGUCUGACUGUGCAAGGUAUGUGGUACUCCGUGCGGGACGCAUUUAACCUGUGCAACCCCAUGCAGCACGCCACCAAGAGGAAUUUUUCUUCCUGGCAAACAUAUGAAGGAAAGCCAUGUAUCUGCAUGUUGGCGUGCCUGGUGACAUGUUUCCAGUUCAGAUUUGUGUGGGCAUCUACAGUACCAGUGAAACAAAAAGGCCAUUGCCAGCCCUAUGUAAGCUCAGAGAAGCCUUGCCAUGAGCAUCCUACAGGCACAGUGAUGGACAGAAGAAGAGAUGCUCAUUGUGACGUGAACGUAAUUUCAGUACCUGCAGAGGAGAAAUGA
Molecule: long non-coding RNA, 760 nt
Filed under: Numida meleagris (helmeted guineafowl)
Lineage: Eukaryota; Metazoa; Chordata; Aves; Galliformes; Numididae
Description: lncRNA (ENSNMEG00000011435.1)
Source: RNAcentral